GACGAACGCUGGCGGCGUGCUUAACACAUGCAAGUCGUACGGUAAGGCCCCUUCGGGGGUAUACGAGUGGCGCAAGGGAGUGUAAAACGCGAGUAAAAUGCCCUCAACUUUGGGAUAAAACUAGGAAAAAGGUGUGAAAAUUGGAUAUGUGCUCCUGUGCUACGGGGGGGGUGGGGAAGAGCCGGCGGUUGUGGAGGGACUCGCGGCGUAUCAGCUUGUUGGUGGGGUAGUGGCGUACCAAGGCGGCGACGGGUAGCCGGCCUGAGAGGGUGACCGGCCACAUUGGGACUGAGAUACGGCCCAGACUCCUACGGGAGGCAGCAGUGGGGAAUAUUGCACAAUGGGCGGAAGCCUGAUGCAGCAACGCCGCGUGCGGGAUGACGGCCUUCGGGUUGUAAACCGCUUUCAGCAGGGACGAAGCUUUGUGUGACGGUACCUGCAAAAGAAGCACCGGCUAACUACGUG
RNAcentral lists this ribosomal RNA (465 nucleotides) under uncultured bacterium. RNAcentral describes it as "partial 16S ribosomal RNA". It matches the Rfam family "Bacterial small subunit ribosomal RNA", at positions 28 to 507 of the family's 1533-position model. The record is from RNAcentral.